RNAcentral lists this ribosomal RNA (497 nucleotides) under uncultured bacterium. Its description in RNAcentral is "partial 16S ribosomal RNA". It matches the Rfam family "Bacterial small subunit ribosomal RNA", at positions 28 to 507 of the family's 1533-position model. The record is from RNAcentral.
GAUGAACGCUGGCGGCGUGCCUAAUACAUGCAAGUCGAGCGAACAGACGAGGAGCUUGCUCCUCUGACGUUAGCGGCGGACGGGUGAGUAACACGUGGAUAACCUACCUAUAAGACUGGGAUAACUUCGGGAAACCGGAGCUAAUACCGGAUAACAUGUUGAACCGCAUGGUUCAACAGUGAAAGACGGUCUUGCUGUCCCUUAUAGAUGGAUCCGCGCCGCAUUAGCUAGUUGGUAAGGUAACGGCUUACCAAGGCAACGAUGCGUAGCCGACCUGAGAGGGUGAUCAGCCACACUGGAACUGAGACACGGUCCAGACUCCUACGGGAGGCAGCAGUAGGGAAUCUUCCGCAAUGGGCGAAAGCCUGACGGAGCAACGCCGCGUGAGUGAAGAAGGUCUUCGGAUCGUAAAACUCUGUUAGUAGGGAAGAACAAAUGUGUAAGUAACUAUGCACGUCUUGACGGUACCUAAUCAGAAAGCCACGGCUAACUACGUG